Molecule: ribosomal RNA, 2919 nt
Filed under: Enterococcus durans
Lineage: Bacteria; Bacillati; Bacillota; Bacilli; Lactobacillales; Enterococcaceae
Description: bacterial LSU rRNA
Rfam family: Bacterial large subunit ribosomal RNA
Source: RNAcentral
AUAAGGUUAAGUGAAUAAGGGCGCACGGUGGAUGCCUUGGCACUAGGAGCCGAUGAAGGACGGGACUAACACCGAUAUGCUUUGGGGAGCUGUACGUAAGCUAUGAUCCAGAGAUUUCCGAAUGGGGAAACCCAACAUCUUUUAUAGGAUGUUACGUUUGCGUGAAUACAUAGCGCAUUCGAGGUAGACGCAGAGAACUGAAACAUCUAAGUACCUGCAGGAAGAGAAAGAAAAUUCGAUUCCCUGAGUAGCGGCGAGCGAAACGGGAAAAGCCCAAACCAAUGAGCUUGCUCAUUGGGGUUGUAGGACUCCAAUAUGGUAGUUCUUUCAGAUAAUCGAAUGACUUGGAAAAGUCAGUCAAAGAGGGUAAAAACCCCGUAGAUGAAAUUUGGAAGGCACCUAGGAGGAUCCUGAGUACGGCGGAACACGAGGAAUUCCGUCGGAAUCCGGGAGGACCAUCUCCCAAGGCUAAAUACUCCCUAGUGACCGAUAGUGAACCAGUACCGUGAGGGAAAGGUGAAAAGCACCCCGGAAGGGGAGUGAAAUAGAACCUGAAACCGUGUGCCUACAACAAGUCAAAGCCCGUUAAUGGGUGAUGGCGUGCCUUUUGUAGAAUGAACCGGCGAGUUACGAUUGCAUGCGAGGUUAAGUCGAAGAGACGGAGCCGCAGCGAAAGCGAGUCUGAAUAGGGCGUUUGAGUAUGUAGUCGUAGACCCGAAACCAUGUGAUCUACCCAUGUCCAGGUUGAAGGUGCGGUAAAACGCACUGGAGGACCGAACCCACGUACGUUGAAAAGUGCGGGGAUGAGGUGUGGGUAGCGGAGAAAUUCCAAACGAACUUGGAGAUAGCUGGUUCUCUCCGAAAUAGCUUUAGGGCUAGCCUCGGAUUUGAGAAUGAUGGAGGUAGAGCACUGUUUGGACUAGGGGCCCAUCUCGGGUUACCGAAUUCAGAUAAACUCCGAAUGCCAUUCAUUCAUAUCCGGGAGUCAGACUGUGAGUGAUAAGAUCCAUAGUCGAAAGGGAAACAGCCCAGACCACCAGCUAAGGUCCCAAAAUAUAUGUUAAGUGGAAAAGGAUGUGGGGUUGCACAGACAACUAGGAUGUUGGCUCAGAAGCAGCCACCAUUUAAAGAGUGCGUAAUAGCUCACUAGUCGAGUGACCCUGCGCCGAAAAUGUAUCGGGGCUAAACAUAUUACCGAAGCUGUGGAGUACACCAUGAGGUGUAUUGGUAGGAGAGCGUUCUAAGGGCGUUGAAGGCAGAUCGUGAGGACUGCUGGAGCGCUUAGAAGUGAGAAUGCCGGUAUGAGUAGCGAAAGACAGGUGAGAAUCCUGUCCACCGAAUGACUAAGGUUUCCUGGGGAAGGCUCGUCCGCCCAGGGUUAGUCGGGACCUAAGCCGAGGCCGACAGGCGUAGGCGAUGGACAACAGGUUGAUAUUCCUGUACUCGUUGUUUUUGUUUGAGCAAUGGAGGGACGCAGGAGGCUAAGGAAUGCAGACGAUCGGAAAUGUCUGUCCAAGCAGUAAGUCUUGAUAGGAGUCAAAUGCUUCUGUCUACACGGAUAAGCUGUGAUGGGGAGGGAAAUAAUAGUACCGAAGUUCCUGAUGUCACACUGCCAAGAAAAGCUUCUAGUGAGAAAACAAUGACCCGUACCGCAAACCGACACAGGUAGUCGAGGAGAGAAUCCUAAGGUGAGCGAGAGAACUCUCGUUAAGGAACUCGGCAAAAUGACCCCGUAACUUCGGGAGAAGGGGUGCUGAUCUUUGAUCAGCCGCAGUGAAUAGGCCCAAGCGACUGUUUAUCAAAAACACAGGUCUCUGCAAAAUCGUAAGAUGAAGUAUAGGGGCUGACGCCUGCCCGGUGCUGGAAGGUUAAGAGGAGUGCUUAGCGUAAGCGAAGGUACGAAUUGAAGCCCCAGUAAACGGCGGCCGUAACUAUAACGGUCCUAAGGUAGCGAAAUUCCUUGUCGGGUAAGUUCCGACCCGCACGAAAGGCGUAACGAUUUGGGCACUGUCUCAACGAGAGACUCGGUGAAAUUUUAGUACCUGUGAAGAUGCAGGUUACCCGCGACAGGACGGAAAGACCCCAUGGAGCUUUACUGUAGUUUGAUAUUGAGUGUCUGUACCGCAUGUACAGGAUAGGUAGGAGCCGUAGAAAUCGGAACGCUAGUUUCGAUGGAGGCGCUGGUGGGAUACUACCCCUGCGUUAUGGCCACUCUAACCCGCACCACUGAUCGUGGUGGGAGACAGUGUCAGAUGGGCAGUUUGACUGGGGCGGUCGCCUCCUAAAAGGUAACGGAGGCGCCCAAAGGUUCCCUCAGAAUGGUUGGAAAUCAUUCGAAGAGUGUAAAGGCAGAAGGGAGCUUGACUGCGAGACCAACAAGUCGAGCAGGGACGAAAGUCGGGCUUAGUGAUCCGGUGGUUCCGCAUGGAAGGGCCAUCGCUCAACGGAUAAAAGCUACCCUGGGGAUAACAGGCUUAUCUCCCCCAAGAGUCCACAUCGACGGGGAGGUUUGGCACCUCGAUGUCGGCUCGUCGCAUCCUGGGGCUGUAGUCGGUCCCAAGGGUUGGGCUGUUCGCCCAUUAAAGCGGCACGCGAGCUGGGUUCAGAACGUCGUGAGACAGUUCGGUCCCUAUCCGUCGCGGGCGUUGGAAAUUUGAGAGGAGCUGUCCUUAGUACGAGAGGACCGGGAUGGACUUACCGCUGGUGUACCAGUUGUUCUGCCAAGGGCAUUGCUGGGUAGCUAUGUAGGGAAGGGAUAAACGCUGAAAGCAUCUAAGUGUGAAGCCCACCUCAAGAUGAGAUUUCCCAUUUCUUUAAGAAAGUAAGAUCCCUGAGAGAUGAUCAGGUAGAUAGGUCAGGAGUGGAAGGCCAGUGAUGGUUGGAGCGGACUGAUACUAAUCGAUCGAGGACUUAACCAAA